GAUGAACGCUGGCGGCGUGCCUAAUACAUGCAAGUCGAGCGAACGGACGAGAAGCUUGCUUUUCUGAUGUUAGCGGCGGACGGGUGAGUAACACGUGGAUAACCUACCUAUAAGACUGGGAUAACUUCGGGAAACCGGAGCUAAUACCGGAUAAUAUUUUGAACCGCAUGGUUCGAAAGUGAAAGACGGUCUUGCUGUCACUUAUAGAUGGAUCCGCGCUGCAUUAGUUAGUUGGUAAGGUAACGGCUUACCAAGGCAACGAUGCAUAGCCGACCUGAGAGGGUGAUCGGCCACACUGGAACUGAGACACGGUCCAGACUCCUACGGGAGGCAGCAGUAGGGAAUCUUCCGCAAUGGGCGAAAGCCUGACGGAGCAACGCCGCGUGAGUGAUGAAGGUCUUCGGAUCGUAAAACUCUGUUAUUAGGGAAGAACAUAUGUGUAAGUAACUGUGCACAUCUUGACGGUACCUAAUCAGAAAGCCACGGCUAACUACGUG
Molecule: ribosomal RNA, 497 nt
Filed under: uncultured bacterium
Lineage: Bacteria
Description: partial 16S ribosomal RNA
Rfam family: Bacterial small subunit ribosomal RNA
Source: RNAcentral